This 445-nucleotide ribosomal RNA is filed under the name uncultured bacterium. Its description in RNAcentral is "bacterial SSU rRNA". It matches the Rfam family "Bacterial small subunit ribosomal RNA", at positions 354 to 796 of the family's 1533-position model. The record is from RNAcentral.
GUGAGGAAUAUUGCGCAAUGGAGGCAACUCUGACGCAGCCAUGCCGCGUGCAGGAAGAAGGCGCUACGCGUUGUAAACUGCUUUUAUCCGGGAAGAAACCCCUCGACGUGUCGAGGGUUGACGGUACCGGAGGAAUAAGCACCGGCUAACUUCGUGCCAGCAGCCGCGGUAAUACGAAGGGUGCAAGCGUUAUCCGGAUUCAUUGGGUUUAAAGGGUGCGUAGGCGGAGCGCUAAGUCAGUGGUGAAAUCCUGCAGCUUAACUGUAGACUUGCCAUUGAUACUGGCGUUCUUGAGUGCGCUUGAAGUAGGCGGAAUGUGCCGUGUAGCGGUGAAAUGCUUAGAUAUGGCACAGAACACCAAUUGCGAAGGCAGCUUACUAAGGCGAUACUGACGCUGAGGCACGAAAGCGUGGGGAGCGAACAGGAUUAGAUACCCCUGUAGUCC